GUCGGAACUGUUCCUUAUGAACAGUAGGUUAGUGUCGUUCUGGAUAUACCCUUAGCUUGGGGUUUUCAUUUGCGGUCAUGCCACUGAAUGUUGACUUCCUUUGCUUCCACCUCAACUUGUCUUUUGUUUUUUUUUUCUUCUUCUUUCCUGAAUUCACUCAUUCGUCUACUUUUUCUCUCUCUUCCUACUUUCUUCCUCUUUCCAUUUCUGCUAUUGCUCUGUCAUUUUCUCACUGUUGCUUUCUUUCUUUCACGCUCUUUCAUAGAAGGUCACGCUAGGUUCUCCAUUGAAGCGUGUUAUGAGCUUUCUUUGUUCCAUUGUAGCUGCGGGAUUUUAGGAUAAAGGGGAUUCUAAUGCCUUUUUUGAGUUGUCGGUUUGCAGCAAAAGGACGAGGAGAUGGGAAGAAUGAGCCUGUAGCUCUUGCAGCAAGAGGACGAGGUGGUAGUUUGAUCAAUUUCAAUAUUACUAUAAAUACCACCUCGCACUUGGCUUACUUCUCAUUUGUCGACACAACUUCCUAACUCUUCUCUCUCGGUUUCUUCUCUGCCUCUUCUUCUUCUACCUCAAUUCUAAUUCUCUCUCUAAUUUUAGUUGUUUUUUUGCAUUCAAUUUUGUCGAUUUAUGUGAUUAAUUUUUGUGUGGGUUUUGCUUAUUUUUGUUGUUGUGUUUACUUUUUUAGGUGUCGGUUGGCUUUUCUAGCAUUAUUGGAAUUUUGAUAAUUGAUCUGUGUUCUUACAGAGAAAAUGGCUGGUCUUGUAGUGUUGUAAUUUGUUUGGAUACCCAGAUCUGAUAUUUGUGUAAUAUUUUGUUGUUUAAUUGGGUUUAUGAUUUCUUGAUUUGUGUGAUUAUGUCUUUCUUGAUUUUUGCUGGAUCAUGGUAAAAGUUGCACCAUUUUGUGAAAAUUUUGGAUAAUUUUUUUCCUUGCCGUUUCAUAUAUAGAUUGUUGGAUUUGGAGUUGUGAUGAAUCUCAUAACAAUUCUAUUGUUA
This is a long non-coding RNA of Chenopodium quinoa (quinoa), 987 nucleotides long. RefSeq lists it as uncharacterized. The transcript is spliced from 2 exons. The record is from RefSeq and is a predicted model, not a curated record. NCBI's taxonomy places the organism in Eukaryota, Viridiplantae, Streptophyta, Magnoliopsida, Caryophyllales, Amaranthaceae.